AAAAGUCUAGGUGAGGACC
RNAcentral lists this non-coding RNA (19 nucleotides) under Mus musculus (house mouse). Lineage: Eukaryota; Metazoa; Chordata; Mammalia; Rodentia; Muridae. The record is from RNAcentral.